GGUAAAAUGGCUGAGGAUAAGCAUUGAACUGUAAAUUCAAAGACAGAGAGUAAGAUCUCUUUUUACCA
RNAcentral lists this transfer RNA (68 nucleotides) under Caenolestes fuliginosus (silky shrew opossum). RNAcentral describes it as "transfer RNA-Tyr". It matches the Rfam family "tRNA". From Rfam's summary of the family: Transfer RNA (tRNA) molecules are approximately 80 nucleotides in length. Their secondary structure includes four short double-helical elements and three loops (D, anti-codon, and T loops). Lineage: Eukaryota; Metazoa; Chordata; Mammalia; Paucituberculata; Caenolestidae. The record is from RNAcentral.